RNAcentral lists this long non-coding RNA (770 nucleotides) under Equus caballus (horse). RNAcentral describes it as "lncRNA (ENSECAG00000039387.3)". Lineage: Eukaryota; Metazoa; Chordata; Mammalia; Perissodactyla; Equidae. The record is from RNAcentral.
CUUAAAUUAAUCGCAUCAACAAAGUCUCUUUGUCUUUGUAAGGUGGCAUACUCACAGGUUCGGGGAUUAGGACAUAAACGUCAUUCAGCCUACUGUACCGGGAGGCGUCACAUUUCCUCAAACCUGGCUCUGAUCCUGGUCUUCAGUCGCCACAGCAGGUUUAAGCUGGGCCGGGGCUCCCAGGGGUCUGAUCUUCUGCAACGCCCCACAGUCAGGCACCUUCUGCUAGAUCCUUCUUCCGCCGCACGACCUGCUCCUGCUCUAAUUUACUGCGCAGCCUGGACAGAGUUGAGCAACUGUGGACAAGAACUCUCAAGUCCCUGCAGAGAACCCAGAAAAUCAUUUCAACCCCAAGGAAUAUCUGGAACACAGAGAAGUGACUGACUCAAAUAUGAUGAAAAUAUAAAGACCCCUUUCACCAAAACAACUACUGCAUGCAGCACGUCACAGCUUACAGUGUCUGAACGUGGAUUUUCUCCUUUGAUCCUUAGGAGGCAAGGAUAAGAUCAUCUCAUGAGUGACACUGUCAGCCUAAUGGAGAACCGGAAGAUGAUUUGCGGCUGUGCAGGAUGCACCAGUGGCUGGGUGACUCCCACUUUUGUAGUCCAUCAGAACGGAACGUCGCUGUUCCCUCGUGACUCUGCACUCUCGUGACUAAGAGUUAGUGGUGUUCUCCAUGAUUUCCAUGUGCCAGUCUUCAAUGAACAAUUCUGAAGCCUUCAAUUUCGCUGUAUAUUGUUCUGUUGAUUCUGGCUGUGUGCAAAUGUUUG